RNAcentral lists this unclassified non-coding RNA (262 nucleotides) under rhizosphere metagenome. RNAcentral describes it as "partial ribosomal RNA internal transcribed spacer region". The record is from RNAcentral.
GAAAUAAACCUGAUGAGUUGCUGCUGGUUCUCCAGGGAGCAUGUGCACACUUGUCAUCUUUAUAUCUCCACCUGUGCACCUUUUGUAGACCUGGAUAUCUCUCUGAAUGCUAGUCGUUCAGGAUUGAGGAUUGAUGUUAUGUCUCUCCUUACAUUUCCAGGCCUAUGUUUCUUCAUAUACCCCAAUGUAUGUCAUCGAAUGUAAUCAAUGGCCUUUGUGCCUAUAAACCUAUACAACUUUCAGCAACGGAUCUCUUGGCUCU